This 277-nucleotide long non-coding RNA is filed under the name Elaeis guineensis (African oil palm). RNAcentral describes it as "long non-coding RNA (EGUI_LNC032240)". Lineage: Eukaryota; Viridiplantae; Streptophyta; Magnoliopsida; Arecales; Arecaceae. The record is from RNAcentral.
CUGAUUAUGAGUCUUAUGUGUCUGAGACUCUAUGAUUGAGAAUUAGGAUUCUCUAAUCAUGAGUUUCACACAUUUGGGUACCGGGGUCAAAAUUUUGAAUUUCAAAUUUUGAAUUUGAAAUUUGAACUCUUUGAUCAGGGUUUCAUAUCGAUGGUCUCUGAUGCCUAAUUGCCCAUCGAAUUUGGACUCAAUAUUUAUGAGAGGUUUAAUUAGUGAUUUGAUCGCUAAUUAACUCAAUUUGAUUUAGUAAUUAUUUUUAGAUCAAGUCCAAUUGAAU